AGAAAGAUAAGCUAAAUAACAAGCUAAUGGGCUCAUACCUCAUCAACGGAAUAUAAUAAUCCUUUUUCUG
RNAcentral lists this transfer RNA (70 nucleotides) under Peruphasma schultei. Its description in RNAcentral is "tRNA-Met". Lineage: Eukaryota; Metazoa; Arthropoda; Insecta; Phasmatodea; Pseudophasmatidae. The record is from RNAcentral.